RNAcentral lists this non-coding RNA (136 nucleotides) under Candidatus Omnitrophota. RNAcentral's name for it is "Candidatus Omnitrophica c-di-GMP sequence". It matches the Rfam family "c-di-GMP-I riboswitch aptamer". Rfam says of the family: GEMM was predicted in a large-scale screen for bacterial structured RNA regulatory elements. Genes associated with GEMM are involved in a diverse array of functions, including chemotaxis regulation, signal transduction, secretion and chitin. Lineage: Bacteria; Pseudomonadati. The record is from RNAcentral.
AGCCGAUAAGGGCAAACCCUGGGAAAUCAGGGGGCGCAAAGCCUACGGGCCUAAGUUAUUCUGACAAGCCGUAACCUCAACGAAUGUAAAAGGUUAGUGAGGCAGUCAGGAAUAAUAUGGCGGCUGGGUUGCCGAG